This 253-nucleotide ribosomal RNA is filed under the name uncultured bacterium. Its description in RNAcentral is "partial 16S ribosomal RNA". It matches the Rfam family "Bacterial small subunit ribosomal RNA", at positions 524 to 776 of the family's 1533-position model. The record is from RNAcentral.
AACGUAGGAGACAAACGUUAUCCGGAGUUACUGGGCGUAAAGGGCGUGUAGGGGGUAUGUUAAGUCUGGCGUGAAAGCUCUCGGCUAAACCGGGAGAGGUCGUUGGAUACUGGCAAACUAGAGGAUGGUAGAGGCGUGUGGAAUUCCGGGUGUAGUGGUGAAAUGCGUAGAGAUCCGGAGGAACACCAGUGGCGAAGGCGACACGCUGGGCCAUACCUGACGCUAAAGCGCGACAGCAUGGGGAGCAAACGGG